GUCCACGCCGUAAACGGUGGAUGCUGGAUGUGGGGCCCGUUCCACGGGUUCCGUGUCGGAGCUAACGCGUUAAGCAUCCCGCCUGGGGAGUACGGCCGCAAGGCUAAAACUCAAAGAAAUUGACGGGGCCCGCACAAGCGGCGGAGCAUGCGGAUUAAUUCGAUGCAACGCGAAGAACCUUACCUGGGCUUGACAUGUUCCCGACGGCCGUAGAGAUGCGGCUUCCCUUCGGGGCGGGUUCACAGGUGGUGCAUGGUCGUCGU
Molecule: ribosomal RNA, 263 nt
Filed under: uncultured bacterium
Lineage: Bacteria
Description: partial 16S ribosomal RNA
Rfam family: Bacterial small subunit ribosomal RNA
Source: RNAcentral